Molecule: long non-coding RNA, 4299 nt
Organism: Oncorhynchus kisutch (coho salmon)
Lineage: Eukaryota; Metazoa; Chordata; Actinopteri; Salmoniformes; Salmonidae
Exons: 2
Source: RefSeq, a predicted model, not a curated record
AGUAGUGCACUACUAUUAACCAGAGGCCUUACUAACCAGUAGUAGUGCACUACUAUUAACCAGAGGCCUUACUAACCUGUAGUAGUGCACUAUAAAAGGAAUAUUUGGGAGCCUGCUGGUGUGCUGCAUAACUAGAUAAUGUUCUCUCUGUGGUAGUAAUGCUAACGAUGAUAGGCUAGGGAUCAGUGGUAGUAAUGCUAACGAUGAUAGGUUAGGGAUCAGUGGUAGUAAUGCUAUAAUGCUAAUGAUAGGCUAGGGAUCAGUGGUAGUAAUGCUAUAAUGCUAAUGAUAGGCUAGGGAUCAGUGGUAGUAAUGCUAUAAUGCUAAUGAUAGGCUAGGGAUCAGUGGUAGUAAUGCUAACGAUGAUAGGCUAGGGAUCAGUGGUAGUAAUGUUAUAAUGCUAAUGAUAGGCUAGGGAUCAGUGGUAGUAAUGCUAUAAUGCUAAUGAUAGGCUAGGGAUCAGUGGUAGUAAUGCUAUAAUGCUAAUGAUAGGUUAGGGAUCGGUGGUAGUAAUGUUAUAAUGCUAAUGAUAGGCUAGGGAUCAGUGGUAGUAAUGUUAUAAUGCUAAUGAUAGGUUAGGGAUCAGUGGUAGUAAUGCUAUAAUGCUAAUGAUAGGCUAGGGAUCAGUGGUAGUAAUGUUAUAAUGCUAAUGAUAGGCUAGGGAUCAGUGGUAGUAAUGCUAUAAUGCUAAUGAUAGGCUAGGGAUCAGUGGUAGUAAUGCUAAUGGUGAUAGGCUAGGGAUCAGUGGAAGUUAUGCUAAUUAUGAUAGGCUAGGGAACAGUGGUAGUAAUGCUAUAUUGCUAAUGAUAGGCUAGGGAUCAGUGGUAGUAAUGCUAUAAUGCUAAUGAUAGGCUAGGGAUCAGUAGUAGUAAUGCUACUGAUGAUAGGCUAGGCAACAGUGGUAGUAAUGCUAAUGAUUAUAGGCUAGGGAUCAGUGGUAGUAAUGCUAAUGAUGAUAGGCUAGGGAACAGUGGUAGUAAUGCUAAUGAUGAUAGGCUAGGGAACAGUGGUAGUAAUGCUAAUAAUGAUAGGCUAGGGAACAGUGGUAGUAAUGCUAAUGAUGAUAGGCUAGGGAACAGUGGUAGUAAUGCUAUAAUGCUAAUGAUGAUAGGCUAGGGUUGCAAAAUUAGGCUAGUGUUGCAAAAUUCCUGAAACGUUCCCUACAUUUCCAAGGUUUUUUAUUAAUCAUGUUUCAAGGUAUUUCUGAUAUCAGGAAGGAUUAACUAGGGAAGGCAUCCUCCUACUGAGAUUUAUGAGGAAUUUCAGAGUUCUGAAAAGCAUGUAGCUCAAUAACCAGUAUCUGAGCUGUGAAGCACUUUCCGUUGUGUUGCUAAAUUGACCAGGUUGUUGUCAUGGGGAUGGAUGGUGGCAGAACGUGUUGUUGCCACUACUCGUGAUGCUAGCAUGGUCUAGUCUGAGUCCUGAGUCCCAGCUCUGUUUGUGCUGUCUUGCCAACUCUAUGUGAUUUACAGGAGUCGCUAAGACAGCACAAACGAAUGUGGGACCAGGCUAAGCAUGGUUCACCUUGGUGUCAAGGGUCAACUAAUCAAGUCAAGUAAUGGCACAUACAUAACCACUGUCUGGAGAGACCUGCAGAGACCUACAGCUAGACUCCCUAACACAGUGUCUGUUCAGACGGAUUCAUUAGAGCUAGACUCCCUAACACAGUGUCUGUUCAGACUGAUUCAUUAGAGCUAGACUCACUAACACAGUGUCUGUUCAGACUGAUUCAUUAGAGCUAGAAUCCCUAACACAGUGUCUGUUCAGACUAAUGCCUUGAGUACUGAGUAAGGACUUGUUUCAGCGCCUAAUGCCUUGAGUACUGAGUAAGGACUUGUUUCAGCGCCUAAUGCCUUGAGUACUGAGUAAUGACUUGUUUCAGUGCCUAAUGCCUUGAGUACUGAGUAGUGACUUGUUUCAGUGCCUAAUGCUUUGAGUACUGAGUAGUGACUUGUUUCAGUGCCUUUAUUGUAGAAUGACUUGUUGGUUGGUCUGUAGAUAGUUUUCAGAUGCCACCUCCCCUUCUCUUGAAGCCCAGCUCACCUAUCUCUCGGAGUUGGUGGACAGGUCAGGUUCCUACCCUUAAAAAUGUACGUGUGAUCAGGGUGAUUGGCAGGUAGCCAAGGAGCGCUACAGUUCACUCCAAGCAGAUCACACAAUUUACCACGGCCAACAGCAGGCCUGGUCUGCAGGGUAAUAGUAGUGUGGGUAGGAGCCACUGUCUGGAGUUAGAUCAGAUUAACUUCAUUAAUAACCCACUGUCUGGAGUCAGACCAGAUUAACUUCAUUAAUAAGCCACUGUCUGGAGUCAGACCAGAUUAACUUCAUUAAUAACCCACUGUCUGGAGUCAGACCAGAUUAACUUCAUUAAUAACCCACUGUCUGGAGUCAGACCAGAUUAACUUCAUUAAUAACCCACUGUCUGGAGUUAGACCAGAUUAACAUCAUUAAUAACCCACUGUCUGGAGUCAGACCAGAUUAACUUCAUUAAUAACCCACUGUCUGGAGUCAGACCAGAUUAACUUCAUUAAUAACCCACUGUCUGGAGUCAGACCAGAUUAACUUCAUUAAUAACCCACUGUCUGGAGUCAGACCAGAUUAACAUCAUUAAUAACCCACUGUCUGGAGUCAGACCAGAUUAACUUCAUUAAUAACCCACUGUCUGGAGUCAGACCAGAUUAACAUCAUUAAUAACCCACUGUCUGGAGUCAGACCAGAUUAACUUCAUUAAUAACCCACUGUCUGGAGUCAGACCAGAUUAACAUCAUUAAUAACCCACUGUCUGGAGUCAGAUCAGAUUAACUUCAUUAAUAAACCACUGUCUGGAGUCAGACCAGAUUAACAUCAUUCAUAACCCACUGUCUGGAGUUAGACCAGAAUAACAUCAUUAAUAACCCACUGUCUGGAGUCAAACCAGAUUAACAUCAUUAAUAACCCACUGUCUGGAGUCAGAGCAGAUUAACAUCAUUCAUAACCCACUGUCUGGAGUCAGACCAGAUUAACAUCAUUAAUAACCCACUGUCUGGAGUCAGACCAGAUUAACAUCAUUCAUAACCCAUUUCCACGUAAAAUAGUGUCUGUUUUGCACUGAAUUUAAAACAACCCAUCAAGCAAAUGAUGAGCGUUACGAAAUAGUCUGCACUGCUUCCGUGAUAAUGAAUGCUAAAUUAGCAAGCUAUAUUGAUAUGCUAUUAUGGACCACCAUGACUGGUAACAUGAACGACCUGAAUGUUUAUUACCCCUGUCACCACUACCUUUUCUGGGAAUGACUGCAGCCUUGUAUCGUACUGUGAUGACCUGGGAUGUGUUCAUUGGGCACCAAACAGUAGAAAACUGAUUUAAAACAGGGAGGGACUACCUGCACUAGUAGUCCAAUAACAAACACUAAAAUGUAUAUUUUCCUGUUGUAAAACAUUUAUGGUAGAAUUCAGAUGGCACCAUUUGUCACGAUUGUCGUUGGGAGAAGGAGAAGAGGACCAAAGAGCAGCGUGGUAUACUGGAACAAAAACAACAGACCGACAAACGAACAGUUCUGCAAGGUGCAACAAAAACACGAAACAGAAAAUUCUACACAUAGAAUACAUAACAUAAUGCCCACCCCAACUCACGCCCUGACCAAACUAAAACAGAGCCAUAAAAAAGGAACUAAGGUCAGGGCGUGACACCAUUCUUCCAUAGGGGUUGAAAGAAGCGCACUUUUUUUUAUUUUUUAUUAGUGCUAGCUUUGGAGUAGGCUAGCUUUGGAGCAGGCUAGCUUUGGAGUAGGCUAGCUUUGGAGCAGGCUAGCUUUGGAGUAGGCUAGCUUUGGAGCAGGCUAGCUUUGGAGCAGGCUAGCUUUGGAGUAGGCUAGCUUUGGAGUAGGCUAGCUUUGGAGUAGGCUAGCUUUGGAGCAGGCUAGCUUUGGAGUAGGCUAGCUUUGGAGUAGGCUAGCUUUGGAGUAGGCUAGCUUUGGAGCAGGCUAGCUUUGGAGUAGGCUAGCUUUGGAGUAGGCUAGCUUUGGAGCAGGCUAGCUUUGGAGUAGGCUAGCUUUGGAGCAGGCUAGCUUUGGAGCAGGCUAGCUUUGCUCGGUCUAUGUAGUCCCCUUAACUAUUGCUGUUGUUUGGUUUUAAUUAUGUCAAUGAUCUUUCACUUUAUUUCUCGGCACCACUGUUAUUAUGUUUUCAUUCAUGCUGUGCUGUGAUUUGUUGUUGUUGUUGUUGUUAUUUCUUAUUUGUUUUGUUUAUAAUUAAACUCUUCUCUCUGUGUCCACUAAUUACAAUGAAUAAAUAAACUUACCUCGGAGUUUAAAGGUCCCAUUCA